This 2119-nucleotide ribosomal RNA is filed under the name Salmonella enterica. RNAcentral's name for it is "partial 23S ribosomal RNA". It matches the Rfam family "Bacterial large subunit ribosomal RNA", at positions 711 to 2810 of the family's 2925-position model. The record is from RNAcentral. Lineage: Bacteria; Pseudomonadati; Pseudomonadota; Gammaproteobacteria; Enterobacterales; Enterobacteriaceae.
AGACCCGAAACCCGGUGAUCUAGCCAUGGGCAGGUUGAAGGUUGGGUAACACUAACUGGAGGACCGAACCGACUAAUGUUGAAAAAUUAGCGGAUGACCUGUGGCUGGGGGUGAAAGGCCAAUCAAACCGGGAGAUAGCUGGUUCUCCCCGAAAGCUAUUUAGGUAGCGCCUCGUGAACUCAUCUCCGGGGGUAGAGCACUGUUUCGGCUAGGGGGCCAUCCCGGCUUACCAACCCGAUGCAAACUGCGAAUACCGGAGAAUGUUAUCACGGGAGACACACGGCGGGUGCUAACGUCCGUCGUGAAGAGGGAAACAACCCAGACCGCCAGCUAAGGUCCCAAAGUCAUGGUUAAGUGGGAAACGAUGUGGGAAGGCCCAGACAGCCAGGAUGUUGGCUUAGAAGCAGCCAUCAUUUAAAGAAAGCGUAAUAGCUCACUGGUCGAGUCGGCCUGCGCGGAAGAUGUAACGGGGCUAAACCAUGCACCGAAGCUGCGGCAGCGACACUUUAGUGUUGUUGGGUAGGGGAGCGUUCUGUAAGCCGUUGAAGGUGUCCUGUGAGGGGUGCUGGAGGUAUCAGAAGUGCGAAUGCUGACAUAAGUAACGAUAAAGCGGGUGAAAAGCCCGCUCGCCGGAAGACCAAGGGUUCCUGUCCAACGUUAAUCGGGGCAGGGUGAGUCGACCCCUAAGGCGAGGCCGAAAGGCGUAGUCGAUGGGAAACGGGUUAAUAUUCCCGUACUUGGUGUUACUGCGAAGGGGGGACGGAGAAGGCUAUGUUGGCCGGGCGACGGUAGUCCCGGUUUAAGCGUGUAGGUGUGUGUUCCAGGCAAAUCCGGUUCACUUUAACACUGAGGCGUGAUGACGAGGCACCACGGUGCUGAAGCAACAAAUGCCCUGCUUCCAGGAAAAGCCUCUAAGCAUCAGGUAACAUCAAAUCGUACCCCAAACCGACACAGGUGGUCAGGUAGAGAAUACCAAGGCGCUUGAGAGAACUCGGGUGAAGGAACUAGGCAAAAUGGUGCCGUAACUUCGGGAGAAGGCACGCUGACACGUAGGUGAAGUGAUUUACUCACGGAGCUGAAGUCAGUCGAAGAUACCAGCUGGCUGCAACUGUUUAUUAAAAACACAGCACUGUGCAAACACGAAAGUGGACGUAUACGGUGUGACGCCUGCCCGGUGCCGGAAGGUUAAUUGAUGGGGUCAGCGCAAGCGAAGCUCCUGAUCGAAGCCCCGGUAAACGGCGGCCGUAACUAUAACGGUCCUAAGGUAGCGAAAUUCCUUGUCGGGUAAGUUCCGACCUGCACGAAUGGCGUAAUGAUGGCCAGGCUGUCUCCACCCGAGACUCAGUGAAAUUGAACUCGCUGUGAAGAUGCAGUGUACCCGCGGCAAGACGGAAAGACCCCGUGAACCUUUACUAUAGCUUGACACUGAACAUUGAGCCUUGAUGUGUAGGAUAGGUGGGAGGCUUUGAAGCGUGGACGCCAGUCUGCGUGGAGCCGACCUUGAAAUACCACCCUUUAAUGUUUGAUGUUCUAACGUGGACCCGUAAUCCGGGUUGCGGACAGUGUCUGGUGGGUAGUUUGACUGGGGCGGUCUCCUCCUAAAGAGUAACGGAGGAGCACGAAGGUUGGCUAAUCCUGGUCGGACAUCAGGAGGUUAGUGCAAUGGCAUAAGCCAGCUUGACUGCGAGCGUGACGGCGCGAGCAGGUGCGAAAGCAGGUCAUAGUGAUCCGGUGGUUCUGAAUGGAAGGGCCAUCGCUCAACGGAUAAAAGGUACUCCGGGGAUAACAGGCUGAUACCGCCCAAGAGUUCAUAUCGACGGCGGUGUUUGGCACCUCGAUGUCGGCUCAUCACAUCCUGGGGCUGAAGUAGGUCCCAAGGGUAUGGCUGUUCGCCAUUUAAAGUGGUACGCGAGCUGGGUUUAGAACGUCGUGAGACAGUUCGGUCCCUAUCUGCCGUGGGCGCUGGAGAAUUGAGGGGGGCUGCUCCUAGUACGAGAGGACCGGAGUGGACGCAUCACUGGUGUUCGGGUUGUCAUGCCAAUGGCACUGCCCGGUAGCUAAAUGCGGAAAAGAUAAGUGCUGAAAGCAUCUAAGCACGAAACUUGCCCCGAGAUGAGUU